RNAcentral lists this ribosomal RNA (800 nucleotides) under uncultured Pseudomonadota bacterium. RNAcentral describes it as "bacterial SSU rRNA". It matches the Rfam family "Bacterial small subunit ribosomal RNA", at positions 81 to 916 of the family's 1533-position model. Lineage: Bacteria; Pseudomonadati; Pseudomonadota. The record is from RNAcentral.
UAGCAAUACUUUAGUCGGCAGACGUGGUGAGUAACAUGUAAGUAUCUGCCCUUUGGCCUGGAAUAACACGAGGAAACUUGUGCUAAUACCGGAUAAGUCUUUACGGAGAAAGCUUUAUGCACCAUUGGAUGAGCCUGCACUUGAUUAGUUUGUUGGUGGGGUAAUGGCCUACCAAGACUAUGAUCAAUAGCUGAUUUGAGAGGAUGAUCAGCCACAUUGGGACUGAGACACGGCCCAAACUCCUACGGGAGGCAGCAGUGGGGAAUCUUGCACAAUGGAGGAAACUCUGAUGCAGCGAUGCCGCGUGAGUGAAGAAGGCCCUUGGGUUGUAAAGCUCUUUCGUCGGGGAAGAAAAUGACUGUACCCGAAUAAGAAGGUCCGGCUAACUUCGUGCCAGCAGCCGCGGUAAUACGAAGGGACCUAGCGUAGUUCGGAAUUACUGGGCUUAAAGAGUUCGUAGGUGGUUGAAAAAGUUGGUGGUGAAAUCCCAGAGCUUAACUCUGGAACUGCCAUCAAAACUUUUCAGCUAGAGUAUGAUAGAGGAAAGCAGAAUUUCUAGUGUAGAGGUGAAAUUCGUAGAUAUUAGAAAGAAUACCAAUUGCGAAGGCAGCUUUCUGGAUCAUUACUGACACUGAGGAACGAAAGCAUGGGUAGCGAAGAGGAUUAGAUACCCUCGUAGUCCAUGCCGUAAACGAUGUGUGUUAGACGUUGGAAAUUUAUUUUUCAGUGUCGCAGCGAAAGCGAUAAACACACCGCCUGGGGAGUACGACCGCAAUGUUAAAACUCAAAUGAAUUGACGG